This 1532-nucleotide ribosomal RNA is filed under the name Streptococcus salivarius. RNAcentral's name for it is "bacterial SSU rRNA". It matches the Rfam family "Bacterial small subunit ribosomal RNA". The record is from RNAcentral. Lineage: Bacteria; Bacillati; Bacillota; Bacilli; Lactobacillales; Streptococcaceae.
UUUUUUUUAGAGUUUGUAUCGUGCUCAGGACGAACGCUGGCGGCGUGCAUAAUACAUGCAAGUAGAACGCUGAAGAGAGGAGCUUGCUCUUCUUGGAUGAGUUGCGAACGGGUGAGUAACGCGUAGGUAACCUGCCUUGUAGCGGGGGAUAACUAUUGGAAACGAUAGCUAAUACCGCAUAACAAUGGAUGACCCAUGUCAUUUAUUUGAAAGGGGCAAAUGCUCCACUACAAGAUGGACCUGCGUUGUAUUAGUUAGUAGGUGAGGUAACGGCUCACCUAGGCGACGAUACAUAGCCGACCUGAGAGGGUGAUCGGCCACACUGGGACUGAGACACGGCCCAGAUUCUUACGGGAGGCAGCAGUAGGGAAUUUUCGGCAAUGGGGGCAACCCUGACCGAGCAACGCCGCGUGAGUGAAGAAGGUUUUCGGAUCGUAAAGCUCUGUUGUAAGUCAAGACCGAGUGUGAGAGUGGAAAGUUCACCCUGUGACGGUAGCUUACCAGAAAGGGACGGCUAAUUACGUGCCAGCAGCCGCGGUAAUACGUAGGUCCCGAGCGUUGUCCGGAUUUAUUGGGCGUAAAGCGAGCGCAGGCGGUUUGAUAAGUCUGAAGUUAAAGGCUGUGGCUCAACCAUAGUUCGCUUUGGAAACUGUCAAACUUGAGUGCAGAAGGGGAGAGUGGAAUUCCAUGUGUAGCGGUGAAAUGCGUAGAUAUAUGGAGGAACACCGGUGGCGAAAGCGGCUCUCUGGUCUGUAACUGACGCUGAGGCUCGAAAGCGUGGGGAGCGAACAGGAUUAGAUACCCUGGUAGUCCACGCCGUAAACGAUGAGUGCUAGGUGUUGGAUCCUUUCCCGGCGCAUUCUAGUGGCCGCAGCUAACGCAUUAAGCACUCCGCCUGGGGAGUACGACCGCAAGGUUGAAACUCAAAGGAAUUGACGGGGGCCCGCACAAGCGGUGGAGCAUGUGGUUUAAUUCGAAGCAACGCGAAGAACCUUACCAGGUCUUGACAUCCCGAUGCUAUUUCUAGAGAUAGAAAGUUACUUCGGUACAUCGGUGACAGGUGGUGCAUGGUUGUCGUCAGCUCGUGUCGUGAGAUGUUGGGUUAAGUCCCGCAACGAGCGCAACCCCUAUUGUUAGUUGCCAUCAUUCAGUUGGGCACUCUAGCGAGACUGCCGGUAAUAAACCGGAGGAAGGUGGGGAUGACGUCAAAUCAUCAUGCCCCUUAUGACCUGGGCUACACACGUGCUACAAUGGUUGGUACAACGAGUUGCGAGUCGGUGACGGCAAGCUAAUCUCUUAAAGCCAAUCUCAGUUCGGAUUGUAGGCUGCAACUCGCCUACAUGAAGUCGGAAUCGCUAGUAAUCGCGGAUCAGCACGCCGCGGUGAAUACGUUCCCGGGCCUUGUACACACCGCCCGUCACACCACGAGAGUUUGUAACACCCGAAGUCGGUGAGGUAACCUUUUGGAGCCAGCCGCCUAAGGUGGGAUAGAUGAUUGGGGUGAAGUCGUAACAAGGGAAAACCGACCGAAA